UACGUAGGGGGCAAGUGUUGUUCGGAUUUACUGGGCGUAAAGGGAGUGUAGGCGGGUUAUCAAGUCAGGGGUUCAAUGAUCAGGCCUAACCUGAUUUUCGCUCUUGAAACUGAUAAUCUAGAGUAUGGAAGAGGAAGAUAGAAUUCCAGGUGUAGCGGUGGAAUGCGUAGAUAUCUGGAGGAAUACCGAUGGCGAAGGCAGUCUUCUGGUCCAAUACUGACGCUGAGGCUCGAAAGCUAGGGGAG
This 245-nucleotide ribosomal RNA is filed under the name uncultured bacterium. RNAcentral describes it as "partial 16S ribosomal RNA". It matches the Rfam family "Bacterial small subunit ribosomal RNA", at positions 524 to 768 of the family's 1533-position model. The record is from RNAcentral.